CACGGCCGACAGUGCGCCUCGCGUGCUCUCGACAUGGUUGUGCCGUGGACCUCCGCUGUGGUGGCGGUGAUUCUCCUGGCCGGCCCGGCACGCGCUGCCACCGACGGCGAUGGUGCCGCCCGAGAGCUGUUCGACAGAUACUUCGACUGGCGGAUGCAGGACAACCCGGAGUUCGCCACCGUGGCUGACGCAGAUGCAGUCGUAUCUGACUGAGGUGUCGAAGCUGUUGAAGGACGACCUCAGCUACCACACCAGGGUCAGCGCCACCGUACUGAGGGACAACUUAGUCGCCUUCGUAGACGGAGAAACGUACAAAGGAUACCUCUUCCCAUCAACAUAUCUAUACAGCGUCGGAAAAGCUCUGAGCAAAGUGAUAAAACACAUGCCUUUUAAAAACGAGCAAGACUAUCGCAACCUUCUAAAAAGGUAUGGCGCGUUUCCGAGAAAAGUGGAGGAAGUCAUCAUGCUGCUCAGAAUGGGCAUUGAGGAAGGAAUGGUGCUGCACAACGUUUCAAUGGAGACACUGCCAGCACAACUGCGGCACAGAACGUCUCCCUUGACGACUCCAGCUACUUCGCGCCGUUCCUGAAGAUGCCUGAAGAAAUUCGGGAUCCGGUCCGUUCUGAGCUGCAGAUGAAAGGGCGGCAGGCUGUCCAAAUUGAAGUUAUCGGUCAUCUGCUGAAGCUAGCGGACUUUGUUGAGUCGGAAUACCUGCCGAACACCAGGGAGGAGGUAGCUGUGACGUCACUGCCCAACGGGCCGGCGUUCUACGAGGCGUGUCUCCGGUAUCACACCUCGACAAAACUCACGGCGGAGGAGAUCCAUCAGAUGGGCUUGGAUGAAGUGGAAAGGAUUGAGGGCGAAAUGAAAAAGAUAGCCACCAGUCAGGGAUUCCGUGGUGCCAACACUAGUUCGUUUUCGGAGCAGCUGCGAAGCGACCCAUCCAACUACCACAGCAGUCCCGAGGCACUAAUGGCAGGCUUCACGGACAUGAUUCAGAACCGCAUACAACAACACCUGCCUGCUGUCGUCUGGGAACUGCCAGUCGAUGACGUCAUGUAAGCGAAAUGACUGGCCUGGUAUGAAUCGGUGAGGCCUGAUUGCCAACCGAGCCGUAUAGCAAGGCUUAACUCGAUAUCACAUUGCCAUGAUUUCCAGCGGUGACACAGAACGAGCAAGUCUUAAGGUCGUGUCUAAACGAAGAUCUUGUGGCUGUAGUGACCCGCCCAGACAAGCUGGUGCUGGCUUAUAUCGUCGUAGCUUCUG
RNAcentral lists this unclassified non-coding RNA (1266 nucleotides) under Pollicipes pollicipes. Its description in RNAcentral is "uncharacterized LOC119109700, transcript variant X1". The record is from RNAcentral. Lineage: Eukaryota; Metazoa; Arthropoda; Thecostraca; Pollicipedomorpha; Pollicipedidae.